CCCCUUUUUUCUACUUUCCUGAGCAGAGCAUGAAUGCGUGAAAACUUUUCAACAUUUAUUUCACUUUUCUGCACAAAUUCAAGUUAGGAUUUUACUUUACAUGAAUUUUCCCUAUAUAAGGCACUCUAAUUGGGAAGAUCAAUGGUGCAAUUGUGUUUCAUUGUUUCCAAUUUAUUCACAAGUGCAUUGAAGGAUUUCAUAGCAAGGGAAGUGGCUGAUUGAGACGAUGAAGUGAUCACUGUUGCUCCAUUCAAGGUUUUUUCCGGCCAAAAAUCCGAUUGGCAACCCAACUUCCUCUUCUGGCGAAAUUUGAACAUCCAAAUCGCCACCCAUUUUUGCCUCCUCAGAAUUCGACCUUCCCAGGUACUAAGUACUAGGUUUUUUCCGUUUUCCUCCUCUGUCUUUUUUUCUAUUACCUUAAAUUUGUCAACUUUCAGGUUAAAAAUGAAUGACUCAUACCAUUAAUGGUGUUAUUAGAAUUUUCUGGUUCAGGUACUAUCUUCCCAGUUUACAGGUAUGCUACAUCAGUUUUGGGUUAUUUGCUCAAAAUACUUAUUUGCCUCACAUAUUGAUUCUAUUAGGUAAAGAAAAUCAGCAUUGGCUUCUCUGCAGUCUGUGAACACCCAGAGCAGAGAAAAAAUGUUCAUCAUUUUUUAACCGAGUAGAGGAGGAACUUGGCACUAUUAGUGAUGCUGAGUCAACAAAAAAGGUUUCAUAAGCUAUGCAGAUUGGAGCGCGAGCAAUUAAAGAAGUAAGAUCAGUGUGGAAGAUGUUGAUCUAUGAUUAAGAGAUCUCGAAGAGAGUAUUGGUUCACAGAAGGAAGUUUAAAAGGCGCUAGGUAUAUUUCGUCAAAUAUUUUAUACCACAUAUUUGAAUUGUGCUUUUGCAUUUUUUAUGCUGAAAUGAAUUGUUUGUGAUACUAACUUGAGGGAAUUUCAAGAUCGUCAGGAUGUUUGUAUCUCUGAUGUCAACAAUUAAGAUUUUGAUUUCUUAAGCAUGUUGCCUUGUGUCUUUAGAGCAAACUCCACCACACACAGAUAUGGAUGAAGAAGAUGUUGAAGAGGAAUUCAAUAUACCCUGUAGUAUUUAUAGAUGUAGCUCCUGUGAAGAACAAAUAUACCUUGUACGUAUUUAUUUUAAAAACAUUGAAAACUUACAUUCUCUCCUCCUGCAACCUUUUUCUUCUUUUUCAUUUACCAUUAAAAACCAACAGGGUUUUAUUCCAUGUGAUGAAGGUCCACCUUAAGUUAAAUAUGUUCUGUCAAUUGUGGUAGUGGUUUGCAAUUUUACGGUGGCCUCAAAAGCUAAAAAUAAUUCUAUUAAAACUUCAUGAGGUAGACUUUAAUUACAGAGCAAUUGGUUCUUAUAUUAAUUAAGGUGGUGUUUAGUUUUCCCAAAUAAAUCAGUUCAAUAGCCAAACCUGCAUAUUGUCAUUCACAGAUUGAGUUGUCAUUUAUAAAGUAUAAAUUGAAUAACAUUUAUGUUAUUACUUUUUAAAAUUUGUUUAUUAAUAUUUUAUACUUCACUAUUAUCCUGGGUGUGAGGCAUAUCCUUAGAGAUCAGCCACAAAUGCUAUGGACUGCUAUUGACAUGCCUGGAGAAUGAGUCAGGGUUUUAUUGGAUGGGUUUGCAAAAUAGUAGUAUUGUUUUUUCAUGGUGGGGUUGGAGGAGUGUGUUUUAUGCUCCUUUGCACAGAUCCGAUGCAAUGGUGUAUGGGAGUUUUACAGGCAUGGGGACACAGGCUGUAGUGCGGCUAUUUUUUACUGGUAUAUUACAUUGAAAUGAUUUUAUUGUCAUGAUUUGUGGGAUAUAUAGGCCAUAACGUGGUUCUAAUUUUGACAUGGGUUUAGGCCUUAUAUUAAUCCAGUUGGGGCUAUGUGGGUUUGAUUCGGUGUUUGGCAAUCCUUUGUUGGUGAUAUAAAAUUUGCUGAGCAUUUGAUUAAAUGUUGUUUUGCUCAUUUGGGAGAGCAAUGUUCCCAAGUAUGAUUAUUCUUUAGUAAAACUUCAUCUUUUCCUUAAAAAAA
This is a long non-coding RNA of Lotus japonicus, 2024 nucleotides long. RefSeq lists it as uncharacterized. Lineage: Eukaryota; Viridiplantae; Streptophyta; Magnoliopsida; Fabales; Fabaceae. The record is from RefSeq and is a predicted model, not a curated record. The transcript has 3 exons.